This is a non-coding RNA of Tulasnella sp. 403, 83 nucleotides long. The record is from the annotation of a GenBank genome assembly. NCBI's taxonomy places the organism in Eukaryota, Fungi, Basidiomycota, Agaricomycetes, Cantharellales, Tulasnellaceae.
GCCGUCGUAGCUCAGCUGGGAGAGCGACAGACUGAAGUAUUCACGAGAUCUGCAGGUCAUCAGUUCAAAUCUGGUCGACGGCA